CUAAGGCUCCAGAGGAAGCCACGGCUAACUCUGUGCCAGCAGCCGCGGUAAUACAGAGGCGGCAAGCGUUGUUCGGAAUUAUUGGGCGUAAAGAGCACGUGGGCGGCCUUGCAAGUCAGUUGUGAAAGCCUUCCGCUUAACGGAAGAAUGCCAGCUGAUACUACAGGGCUUGAGUACGGGAGGGGAGAGUGGAACUUCUGGUGGAGCGGUGAAAUGCGUAGAUAUCAGAAGGAACGCCGGCGGCGAAAGCGACUCUCUGGCCCGAAACUGACGCUGAGUGUGCGAAAGCUAGGGGAGCAAACGGGAUUAGAUACCCCGGUAGUCCUAGCCGUAAA
Molecule: ribosomal RNA, 335 nt
Filed under: uncultured Planctomycetales bacterium
Lineage: Bacteria; Pseudomonadati; Planctomycetota; Planctomycetia; Planctomycetales
Description: bacterial SSU rRNA
Rfam family: Bacterial small subunit ribosomal RNA
Source: RNAcentral